CCAGCAGCCGCGGUAAUUCCAGCUCCAAUAGCGUAUAUUUAAGUUGCUGCAGUUAAAAAGCUCGUAGUUGGAUUUCGGGUGGUGCCUGCCGGUCCGCCGUUUCGGUGUGCACUGGCAGGGCCCACCUUGUUGCCGGGGACGGGCUCCUGGGCUUCACUGUCCGGGACUCGGAGUCGGCGCUGUUACUUUGAAAAAAUUAGAGUGUUCAAAGCAGGCCAACGCUUGAAUACAUUAGCAUGGAAUAAUGGAAUAGGACUUUGGUGCUAUUUCGUUGGUUUAUGGGACCGAAGUAAUGAUUAAUAGGGACAGUUGGGGCCGUUUAUAUUCCGUUGUCAGAGGUGAAAUUCUUGGAUUUACGGAAGAUAAACUUCUGCGAAAGCAUUCGGCAAGGAUGUUUUCA
This 400-nucleotide ribosomal RNA is filed under the name uncultured eukaryote. RNAcentral's name for it is "SSU rRNA". It matches the Rfam family "Eukaryotic small subunit ribosomal RNA", at positions 567 to 972 of the family's 1831-position model. The record is from RNAcentral.